AUUGAACGCUGGCGGCAUGCUUUACACAUGCAAGUCGAACGGUAACAGCACUUCGGUGGCUGACGAGUGGCGAACGGGUGAGUAAUACAUCGGAACGUGCCUAGUAGUGGGGGAUAACUACUCGAAAGAGUAGCUAAUACCGCAUGAGAUCUAAGGAUGAAAUCAGGGGACCUUCGGGCCUUGCGCUACUAGAGCGGCUGAUGGCAGAUUAGGUAGUUGGUGGGAUAAAAGCUUACCAAGCCGACGAUCUGUAGCUGGUCUGAGAGGACGACCAGCCACACUGGGACUGAGACACGGCCCAGACUCCUACGGGAGGCAGCAGUGGGGAAUUUUGGACAAUGGGCGCAAGCCUGAUCCAGCAAUGCCGCGUGCAGGAUGAAGGCCUUCGGGUUGUAAACUGCUUUUGUACGGAACGAAAAGCCCUCUUCUAAUACAGGAGGGUCAUGACGGUACCGUAAGAAUAAGCACCGGCUAACUACGUG
Molecule: ribosomal RNA, 482 nt
Filed under: uncultured bacterium
Lineage: Bacteria
Description: partial 16S ribosomal RNA
Rfam family: Bacterial small subunit ribosomal RNA
Source: RNAcentral